UCCACGCCCUAAACGAUGUACACUAGUUGUUGUGAGGCUCGACCUUGCAGUAAUGCAGUUAACACAUUAAGUGUACCGCCUGGGGAGUACGGUCGCAAGAUUAAAACUCAAAGGAAUAGACGGGGACCCGCACAAGCGGUGGAGCAUGUGGUUUAAUUCGACGAUACACGAAGAACCUUACCUGGACUUGACAUAGUAAGAACUUUCUAGAGAUAGAUUGGUGUCUGCUUGCAGAAACUUAUAUACAGGUGCUGCACGGCUGUCGUCAGCUCGUGUCGUGAGAUGUUGGGUUAAGUCCCGCAACGAGCGCAACCCUCGUCAUUAGUUGCUAACAGUUCGGCUGAGAACUCUAAUGAGACUGCCUACGCAAGUAGGAGGAAGGUGAGGAUGACGUCAAGUCAUCAUGGCCCUUACGUCCAGGGCUACACACGUGCUACAAUGGGGUAUACAAAGAGCAGCAAUACGGUGACGUGGAGCAAAUCUCA
Molecule: ribosomal RNA, 485 nt
Filed under: uncultured bacterium
Lineage: Bacteria
Description: bacterial SSU rRNA
Rfam family: Bacterial small subunit ribosomal RNA
Source: RNAcentral